RNAcentral lists this ribosomal RNA (500 nucleotides) under uncultured bacterium. Its description in RNAcentral is "partial 16S ribosomal RNA". It matches the Rfam family "Bacterial small subunit ribosomal RNA", at positions 28 to 507 of the family's 1533-position model. The record is from RNAcentral.
GACGAACGCUGGCGGCGUGCCUAAUACAUGCAAGUCGAGCGGACUGAUUAAGAGCUUGCUCUUAUGACGUUAGCGGCGGACGGGUGAGUAACACGUGGGCAACCUGCCCUGUAGAUCGGGAUAACACCGAGAAAUCGGUGCUAAUACCGGGUAAUAUCUGAGAUCACAUGAUCUUAGGUUAAAAGAUGGCUCCGGCUAUCACUACAGGAUGGGCCCGCGGCGCAUUAGCUAGUUGGUAAGGUAAUGGCUUACCAAGGCGACGAUGCGUAGCCGACCUGAGAGGGUGAUCGGCCACACUGGGACUGAGACACGGCCCAGACUCCUACGGGAGGCAGCAGUAGGGAAUCUUCCGCAAUGGACGAAAGUCUGACGGAGCAACGCCGCGUGAGUGAUGAAGGGUUUCGGCUCGUAAAGCUCUGUUGUUAGGAAAGAAACAGUACCGAACGAACUAGGUCGGUACCUUGACGGUACCUAACCAGAAAGCCACGGCUAACUACGUG